CAGAGUUCGCAAGACUCCUUAAACCACUGUGAACCUUACUGUCUUCUACCGUUGCUUCGCGCGGUGCUCCAGGCGGUCCCCCGCCCCCCGGGGCGCUGCGCCGCCGGAGCAUACCUAAUCUCUUGACAUUAGUGGCCUCUCGAGUAAGCUUACGAAUAAGUCA
This 163-nucleotide unclassified non-coding RNA is filed under the name soil metagenome. RNAcentral describes it as "partial internal transcribed spacer 1". The record is from RNAcentral.